AACCAAGAAAUUUAGUCAUUUUUUUAACGGUAAAAAGACAGUUAGGCAAAUAGUACAGGAAUUAUAAGAUCCCUAGUAAAGGAGUAAAAUCUAUAUACUAGGAGUUAUAUCAGACAUAAUUUAUUUUAGGUGCUGAAUCUGUGAUAACUUCAAGGGAAACUGGGAUUGGAUACCCCAUUAUUUUUAGUUGUAAACUUAGUCUAAACUUACCAGAGUACUACGAAUAAAAAGUUUAAAACUCAAAGGGCUUGGCGGUGUUUUAGACCUCUCAGGGGAACCUGUCUCAUAAUCGACAAUCCGCGUUAGACCUGACCCUUUAUAGCAAUACAGUUUGUAUACCGUCGUCGUCAGGUAACUUCUAAAAAUAUGGUAGUUAGCUUGAUAAUUAUAUUUAAUUAGGACGUCAGAUCAAGGUGCAGCCGAUAAAAGGGAGAGGAUGGGUUACAAUUAUAUAUUUAUAACUACGGAGAAAACUUGAAAUUGAGUAAUUAGAAGGAGGACUUGAAAGUAAUUCUAGUUAUAUAAAUAGAAUGAAUAAGGCUCUGAAACGUG
Molecule: ribosomal RNA, 552 nt
Filed under: Conus bartschi
Lineage: Eukaryota; Metazoa; Mollusca; Gastropoda; Neogastropoda; Conidae
Description: partial 12S ribosomal RNA
Source: RNAcentral